This 640-nucleotide small RNA is filed under the name Arabidopsis thaliana (thale cress). Its description in RNAcentral is "ATSL266550". The record is from RNAcentral. Lineage: Eukaryota; Viridiplantae; Streptophyta; Magnoliopsida; Brassicales; Brassicaceae.
AUUUUUGAACUAUUUUAAAACUCUUGUAAACCUUUACAAAAAGGUUUUAAAAAGAUUUACAAGAGUUUUUAAAGGGUCUUCUUGAAAAUUCUUUAAAGAUCUUUUAAAAACCCUUGUAAAUCUUUUAAAACCCUUUUAAACCCUUUAAAAAUCUCUUAUAAAUCUCUUAAAACUCUUUAAAAAUCCAUUGUAAAUCUUUUAAAACACUUUUAAAGCCUUUAAAAAUCUUUUAAAAACUCUUGUAAAUCUUUUAAAGCCCUUUAAAAAUCUUUUGAAAAUUUUUUAAAACUCUUUAAAAAUCCCUUGUAAAUCUUUUAAAAUCUCUUGUAAAUUUAUUUCCCGCCAAAAAAAAAUUUCGAUUGGAAACUUUUUUUCGAAUUUUUUGGCAGAAAAUUUAUUUUGGAAUAUUGCAAGCAAAAAAAAUAUUAACAUUUCAUUUUGUUAAUCUAAAACAAUUUUUAAAUAGAGAUAAAAUGACCAUUAAAAAUUUAAAGAGGCUAUAAAUAAAAAUUUAAUGUGGAAAUGAUAUUUUUAACAAUUAUUUUUGUUUUUUCUGUCAAAUGACGAAGAGAAUUGUUUUUUUUUGUGAUUUCUGAGGAAUUGGAUGUUAGUCUGUCAAAUGACGAAGAGAAUUGGGGUU